GAAUCCUCAAAAAACCCCUGAGCCCCACAUGAGCGGAGUCUCCAUCCUGGCCCAGGCAGCUGAGCUGGGCCGCAGGAGACGCGUCGCUCGCCUGACAGUGUCCCCGAGAGCUGGGAGGGGAUGGCCGGAUGGGGACGUGGCAGGCGGGGGCACGCGAAGGCAGCUCGGGCGCGGCGGACGGCGCGGCUCACACGAAGAUCUGGAUGCGGUCGCGGAUGGGCUGGCGGCAGAUGGGGCAGGCGCUGAGCGCGGAGCCGCAGGGGGCGCAUGCGCCGUGGCCGCACUGGAACACGAGGCGGAUGUGGCUGUCGAUGCAGAUGGGGCAGGUGAUGCGUUCCUCCAUCUGCCGGUAGCGGCUCUGCAGCUCCUCCACCAGCUGGCGCGGCGGGCCGGGGGCGGGGGCGGCGCUCGCCACCUCAGAGCCGUCUGCGGGGUGGGGGACGGGUGUGAGCUGGGAGGCCGGGUGGGGGAAUGCGGGGAGCAGGGAGCUGCGGGGGGGCGAGGCUGGGGGCGGGGUGUCACCUGGGACGGGUUGUGACCUGCAAGGGGGGCUGGCGGGGUGGGUGAUUUGGAGGCAGAGGUGGGGCCCGGGUGCGGGCAGGAGGUGAGCCGUGGAAAUCAGGCAUAAGGUGGUGUGCGGGCUGGAGUCAGGGCUGCAGGUGGGCUGUGAGCUGGGCCGGGGUGUGAUGGGGGGGCGGUGCUCUGGGUGGGCUGUGAUCUGGGGUGGGGCUAUGGAGGGAGUGUGAUCUGGGAGGGGCCGUGAAAUCCAGCGGGGCUGGGGUGUGAUGGGGGAGGAGGGUGUUACCUUGAGGCGGGGCUGUGGGCCGGGUGUGAUCUGGAGCAGGCGGGGCUGGGGGCUGGGGGCUGGGGGGCCGGGUGUGAGCCUUGGGAGGGCGGGGUGUAACCUGGGGAAGGGCCAUGGGCGGAAGUGUGGGAGGGAAGGGGUGGGGGACGGGGACCCGCGGGCCACCAGCUGAGCAGGAGGCGUGUUGGGGGCGCAGAGCCUCACCCACCUGGGCGCAGUUUCUUGCUGACGACCACCUGGCACCUGAUGCACUUCUUCAUCCUGCGCGCGCACUCUGCGAAGAGGAGAGCGCGGUUGGCUGCGGCCCUACUAGCCGGGCCUCCCCACCCCGGGGCCCCCCACUCACCCUCACACACGGUGCGGUGCUGGCACGGCGAGAACAGCACCAGCAGCGCCAGCUCGGAGCACACCAGGCACUCAGCGGCCUCGGGCCCCGGCGCGGCGCCCACGUGCAGGUUCGUCACGGUGUUGGGGGUCCCGAGCGUUUGCCUGGGGCCCGGGGCCGCGCCCCCGCCCGCCUGCCGCUCCCUGCAGGGGGAGGAGGCGGCUUGAGAGGGGCCCGGAGGCCGCCGGACCCCAUCCCCGCCGUCCACGGACUCACCGGAAGCGCUGGGCGCAGCCCUGAAGGGCCUUGAGCACGCGACCCUCGGCGGCCAGGUCCAGCGGGCUCCGACCGCGGUGGUUGGUGUAGCUCACGUCGGCGCCCUCCAGCGCCAGGAAGCAGGCGACCGCCGCGCCCACCGUCAGCUCCGCGCUGCCGGGGAGGCCCGAGGCCUGUAGCUGGGCGGCAGGACAGACGCCGGUGAGGGCGGGCGCCGGGGCAGGCCCGAGGGAGGCGUCUCCUGGCACCUGGCAGCCCCAGCAGCCGGCGCCCCAUGUCUAAAAUACAAGGCAAGGGCACCUCUUCCGGAACCCAAGUGGGACAGGCAGGAGGGGCGCCCUGCUAGGUGAGCUCUGAGACCCUAAGCUCCACCUCUCCCCAUCCCAUGGGCACCACCCCUUUCCCAGGCUGCCUAGGGGUGCAGGCUGAAGGAUCACAUAGAACUUGGCUCCCAUCUGCUCCACCCCCAGAACGCCUGGCUCCCUGGGCCAUCACUGGAGGGGAAGGUGGACAGUGGCACAGGCCCUGCCCAGAGCCUGCUGCCGGCGCCACCGCAGCCUCUCCAGCACCCCACGCCACACUUCCUCACCCUGGACAGCAGCUGCAAGGGCCCUGGGUCCCCCCCGGCCCCAUCAGCCACCAGGGGCAGCAGCUGAUGACGCUGCAGCGCCACGUGCAGGGCUGUGUCCCCCUCCUCGUCCUCGGCGUUGACACUGCACCCAGCGUCCACCAGUAGCGGCACCAGCCCCACGUGGGCCUGUUGCACGGCGAGAUGCAGCGGGGACUGCAGCUUCCGGUUGCGCACGUUCACGUCACAGCGGCCCUGGGGAGGGGUGGGGACGGGCUCAGCCCAGGGACCCCAGUGGGCCUCCCGCUCCCCGGUCCUUGGGCAGGACUGGGCCGCGUCCGCACCUCCCGGAUGAGGAUCUGGGCCACCUCGCGGUGGUUGUUGAGGGCAGCCAGAUGCAGCGCCGUGAAGCCGUCCUCCUUCUUGGCGUCCACCAGCUGCCGCGCCCGAGCCAGAAUCUUUCUCACAGCUCUGUGGAGCAGGGAGGUUGGUCUGGGACCUGGGACUGCCCCCAGGCAGCACAGCAAGAGGCCGGCUGCAGCUGUGUGCCCACCCCACACUCACAGCGCGUGACCCUUGAGGGAGGCAUGGUGCAGCAGGGUGAAACCCUGGCUGUUGGUGGCGGUAACAUCGAUGUUUGGCACCUCCGUGAGGACCUCGACAAUGCCGCUGGCUCCAGUGCCCGCCGAGAUGGCGGAGUGCAGGGGCGUGUCCGAGUGGGCGUCCUGCUGGGGCGGAGUCAGUGGUCACCUGGGGGUGACUUCUGCUUGGGUCAAGAGCCAGGGCACCCAGGGAGCAGCACUCACGGGCAGGGGGCACCCAGGCCAGGGAGCAGCACACAUGGGCAGAGGGAACCCAGGCCAGGGACAAGCACUCACGGGCAGGGGGCACCCAGGCCAGGGAGCAGCACUCACGGGCAGGUUGACGUCACAGCCGCGCUCACACAGGGCCCGCACCACCUCCAGGAAGCCCCUCUGCACGGCCACGUGCAGUGCUGUGCUCUGGGUGCUGUUGAUGGCGUCCGCCCGGCACCCAGCACUCAGGAGCACCCUGGUGGCCUCGGGCUGGUUCCUGACAGGAGAGGAAGUGGGAGAGGGAGGGCGCCGGGCCCGGUGGCUGGACGCACAGGCUCAGCCCCGCCAGGCCCGACCCCAGGACGCACAGGCUCAGCCCCGCCGGGCCCCUCCCAGGCCUCACCCCAGGACGCACAGGCUCAGCCCCGCCGGCCGGGCCCCUCCCAGGCCUCACCCCAGGACGCACAGGCUCAGCCCCGCCGGCCGGGCCCCUCCCAGGCCUCACCCCAGGGCCGCGUAGUGCAGUGCCGUGUUGCCCUCGUCGUCCGGCAGGUCCACGCCCGCCCUGGCUUGUAGCAGCAGCCGUAUCAACUCCACCUGGCCCAGGUAGGCAGCCACUUGCAGAGCGGUCCUGCCUUGGUUCUUGGUGUCCACCUGCCAAGAGUGCCAGCAGGUGAGUCCCUGGCCCUCUGCCCCUCACUCUCAGACUGGCCAGUAUGGGAGGACGGGGUCAGGAGCUUGCCUGCUCUGGGCGCCUCCGCAGCAGGUCCAGAGCCCGGGCUGCGUUACCCAGCGCCACCUCCACCACCAGCCUUCCCGGGUGCUCUGGGUCACUCUUCUGGGCCCGAAGCUUGUCCAGGGCCACGCUCAGUGAGCCUGGGGGCAGGGCUGAGGUUAGUGGUGGCCAGGGGCAGCCCCACCUCCCACUGGCCGCCUGAGCUGUGCCGCACUUUUGUUCUCCCGGGCGCGCUCGGCCACGUCCAGGUUGGCAUCCUCCUCGGGCCGGUAGGCCACCAGGCAGGAGGGGCUGAAGGUCCACCGCUGACCAGCGACUGCUACACGCAGGUUCCCGUCUCCAAACACUUUCACCACCUUCCCGACGCGGCCCAGGGCCUGCGGGGAGGGGAGGGGGUCACAGCAGGCUGCAGGUGUGGGGGGCAGCGGCGCUAGCGGCGGGGGUGGCAGGGGGACUCACAGGGGCCAUGUCGUCCGUCCACUCGCCAUGCCCAGCCUGCAGCCGCUUCACUGUGUCAAGGUCGCCGAUGACCCGGACCACGUCGCCCACCCAGAAGGAGUGGUGCUGAGCGACAAAGAGGGGCGUGAGGGGCCCCCCAGCUGUGUGUGGCUGCCCAGGCUCAUGCAACAGGAGGGCAACCUGCUGAGCUCCACGAGACAGGCAGGCCUGACUCGGCCCCGGCCCCGACCCCGACCCCAGGCACUGCCAGAGGCUCUGGCUGGACGAGAGCCCCAGGUGUCCAAGGCAGCCCUGGGUGUCCCUAGCCCCAGAGCCAUGGGAGGAGUGUCCAGGCAGACAGAAGCCAGCUCUGGGCAGGUGUGAAGCCGAGGUGGCUGGCCCUGGGAAGCUGUACGCUGACCAGCAGCAGGCAACAUGGCCAGGGCCCGUGAGCCAGCGUGGGGGUGGGGCCCCAGGACCAUGGGGUGCAGGACGGGCCCACUCUGCCCCACCUGAGCCCUCAUAUGCAGGGAACUCACUCUACAAGCCCGUCUCAUGACUCCCUUCGGCGCCUCCUCAAAGGUGCCUGGUAUCCAGGACCCCAGAUCCAGAGCUGAGCUCUGACGCUUUGCCCCGGGCCUGCCCCUCCCAGGGCCAUCCAAGCUGCCACCGCCACCACCUCCAGCCCCCUCCCUGCCAUCCUGCUUCCCAGGCAGCCCUCACUACCUCCCCCACCACUCUAGGCCAAGCAUCCACCUCCCUGUCCUAACCAGCCACCCCCAUCGGCCCCCAUACAGCACUAACCAGGAGCAUCUUAGCCCAGCCGCCUCCCUCCCGCCCACGAAGCUGUCCUGCCUUCCUGGUGUCCUGGAACAGAGGGAGGCCCUAACCUGCCCAUUCCAGCUCCCAGAGACAUACCCUCCUCUGGGUUCCUUCACACCCAACCCCCUCUUCUCCUUGACCCCACCCACCUCCACCCACCAGUCCCUCCCCUUCCUUCAGGGCUGGGGACUCGUGGGUGCAGCUGGCACCCUAGUCCUGCCUGACCCCCCAAGGCCAAGGGGGUACGUGGAAGGGGUUACAGAAGCAAGCAGAUGAGGCGCAGCCCAGCCCCCCCGGCACCUUGGACAUCAGUGUCCAGCAGACACUUGACCUUGUCCCCGUGCUGGAAGGGCUGGCUGUCAGCACUCACCCUGCGCUGCAGCUCCGCCGGCUUGCCUGCGGAGGGUGGCAGACCAGGCCUCAGGCAGCGGCCCCUCCCCUCUGGGACUUCAGCCAAGGCAGGAGGGCUGAUGGAGUCAGUGUGACAGCCUCAUACCGAGCCUUGGGAGGUGGUCCUUGUAGUAGAAGCCGCCCGCUGCCUCGCCCACACACUUGAGGUCCACCUUGCCCUUGUGGCCCACACGGUACACAUUGGUGGUACCAUCAGCCCACGUCACGCUGGCCACACUCCGGCCUGUCUCCACAUCCCAGCCACGGAUGUCCACCACACGGCCCGGUUUCCCUUCCCCUCCUGGGGAAAGAGGCCCCCCCAGCAGGCUAAGGCUGAGCCAUGAGCCAGCCACAGCCCAGCCCUGACCCCGCCCCUCUGCCUCCACUCACCAUCCUGUGAGCCCCACUCCCAGUCGGGGCCUCGCACCACCUUCGCUCCCUGGAAGAUGCCCCUUAGUGGGAUCCUCGGGAGGCCCUGGCGGGGACUCAGUGUGACACUGCAAGAGGGUUCACAAAUAAAGCUCUCAGAAGAAAA
Homo sapiens (human) is the source of this 5689-nucleotide long non-coding RNA. RefSeq lists it as uncharacterized. The record is from RefSeq and is a predicted model, not a curated record. NCBI's taxonomy places the organism in Eukaryota, Metazoa, Chordata, Mammalia, Primates, Hominidae. The transcript is spliced from 3 exons.